ACAGCUGCACGCAAUUUCUUUGCCAAAAUACUUUUUGCACAGCUGCUCUUAAUUAAAUGGAUAAAUCUUAAAGGAAAAUGCUUGCGAAUGGAAAAACUGCUCAGAUAAGCCAAAAGCCAAAUGCAUUUCAAAUGCCAUUUUUGUAUCGGGCUCGGGUUGCUUGGCCAAAAAAAAAAGCUGACAGCCAAUGCAGCCAACGACAGCUUAGAUUUUCAGAGAACCCUGGUACGACUGGAUCACAAAGAACAUCUCGGUCAUCCUGUGGCCGUAGCGGAAGCGAUGAAAAACAGUUUAGAUAAAGUAGUUUUAGAAUAAUGAAAUCAGCAUUUAAAUUCAAAAUAGGCUUACAAAGUAUCUGUAGAUUUGUAAAAAUAAUCUGUUUAGUGUCUAAA
Long non-coding RNA from Drosophila montana, 392 nucleotides. RefSeq lists it as uncharacterized. The transcript is spliced from 3 exons. Lineage: Eukaryota; Metazoa; Arthropoda; Insecta; Diptera; Drosophilidae. The record is from RefSeq and is a predicted model, not a curated record.